UACAGAGGGGGCAAGCGUUGUUCGGAAUUACUGGGCGUAAAGGGCGCGUAGGCGGCCUUCUAAGUCGAACGUGAAAUCCCUGGGCUCAACCCAGGAACUGCGUCCGAUACUGGAAGGCUUGAAUCCGGGAGAGGGAUGCGGAAUUCCAGGUGUAGCGGUGAAAUGCGUAGAUAUCUGGAGGAACACCGGUGGCGAAGGCGGCAUCCUGGACGGUAACUGACGCUGAGACGCGAAAGCGUGGGUAGCAAACAGG
Molecule: ribosomal RNA, 253 nt
Filed under: uncultured bacterium
Lineage: Bacteria
Description: partial 16S ribosomal RNA
Rfam family: Bacterial small subunit ribosomal RNA
Source: RNAcentral